Molecule: ribosomal RNA, 673 nt
Filed under: uncultured bacterium
Lineage: Bacteria
Description: bacterial SSU rRNA
Rfam family: Bacterial small subunit ribosomal RNA
Source: RNAcentral
AGUGGCAAACGGGUGAGUAUAAUGUGGGAACUGCCUUUUGGUCUGGAAUAACACGAGGAAACUUGUGCUAAUACCGGAUAAGCCUUUACAGGGAAAGUUUUAAUGCCAAAAGAUGAGCCCGCACUUGAUUAGCUAGUUGGUAAGGUAAGAGCUUACCAAGGCAACGAUCAAUAGCUGUUCUUAGAGGAAGACCAGCCACAUUGGGACUGAGACACGGCCCAAACUCCUACGGGAGGCAGCAGUGGGGAAUCUUGCACAAUGGGGGAAACCCUGAUGCAGCGAUGCCGCGUGAGUGAAAAAGGCCUUUGAUUUGUAAAACUCUUUCGUCGGGGAAGAAAAUGACUGUACCCGAAUAAGAAGGUCCGGCUAACUUCGUGCCAGCAGCCGCGGUAAUACGAAGGGACCUAGCGUAGUUCGGAAUUACUGGGCUUAAAGAGUUCGUAGGUGGUUAAAAAAGUUGAUGGUGAAAUCCCAAGGCUCAACCUUGGAACUGCCAUCAAAACUUUUUAGCUAGAGUAUGAUAGAGGAAAGUGGAAUUUCUAGUGUAGAGGUGAAAUUCGUAGAUAUUAGGAAGAACAUCAAAAGCGAAGGCAACUUUCUGGAUCAUUACUGACACUGAGGAACGAAAGCAUGGGUAGCGAAGAGGAUUAGAUACCCUCGUAGUCCAUGCCGA